CACUCUCCUAACAGUGCUGGCUUGACCUUGUCGAUGACAGCUGAAGUCUUCGUGUAUGUGCCGGCGACAGAAGCCCCGGUGAACGGCAGCUGUAAUUAUAACGGUCCUAAGGUAGCGAAAUUCCUUGUCGAGUAAGUUCCGACCCGCACGACAGGUG
This 157-nucleotide non-coding RNA is filed under the name Triticum aestivum (bread wheat). RNAcentral's name for it is "Bacterial large subunit ribosomal RNA". It matches the Rfam family "Bacterial large subunit ribosomal RNA", at positions 1884 to 2001 of the family's 2925-position model. RNAcentral also lists the same sequence under 1 other name. Lineage: Eukaryota; Viridiplantae; Streptophyta; Magnoliopsida; Poales; Poaceae. The record is from Rfam by way of RNAcentral.